RNAcentral lists this ribosomal RNA (429 nucleotides) under Chloroflexota bacterium. RNAcentral's name for it is "Chloroflexi bacterium partial 16S ribosomal RNA". It matches the Rfam family "Bacterial small subunit ribosomal RNA", at positions 355 to 776 of the family's 1533-position model. Lineage: Bacteria; Bacillati; Chloroflexota. The record is from RNAcentral.
AGGGGAAUAUUGCACAAUGGGCGCAAGCCUGAUGCAGCCAUGCUGCGUGUAUGAAGAAGGCCUUCGGGUUGUAAAGUACUUUCAGUCGGGAGGAAGGUGGUAAGGUUAAUAACCUUAUCAAUUGACGUUACCGACAGAAGAAGCACAGGCUAACUCCGUGCCAGCAGCCGCGGUAAUACGGAGGGUGCAAGCGUUAACCGGAAUUACUGGGCGUAAAGCGCACGCAGGCGGUUGAUUGAGUCAGAUGUGAAAUCCCCGGGCUUAAACCGGGAAUUGCAUCUGAUACUGGUCAUCUAGAGUCUGGUAGAGGGGGAUAGAAUUCCAUGUGUAGCGGUGAAAUGCGUAGAGAUGUGAAGGAAUACCGGUGGCAAAGGCGGCCCCCUGGACAAAGACUGACGCUCAGGUGCGAAAGCGUGGGGAGCAAACAGG